This 1278-nucleotide ribosomal RNA is filed under the name Triticum aestivum (bread wheat). RNAcentral's name for it is "partial small subunit ribosomal RNA". Lineage: Eukaryota; Viridiplantae; Streptophyta; Magnoliopsida; Poales; Poaceae. The record is from RNAcentral.
AUGAACACAUCCACUUUGGACAUGAGUUCUUCGUCAUCUUCAUCUGGCGACGAUGAACUCAUACUUGCAGCAUUCGCCGAGCGCGAGGAGGAAGAGAGGAUGAACGCUCGACGCCAUGGCGGUUCCAAGCAUGGACGUCAAACAAUCAAUCGAGGAAGAGAUGCCGGAUUUGUUCUUCUGUGGGACGACUACUUCAAAGAAGUUCCUCGCUAUCCCGAACAUUUGUUUCGACGAAGAUUUAGGAUGUCCCGUAAUUUGUUCAAACGCAUAGCCGAUGGUAUACUUGAGCAUGAUUAUGAUGGUUAUUUUACUCAAAAAAGAAGUGCGUCUGGAGCUCUUGGGUUACAUCCUCUGCAAAAGAUGACCGCGGCAAUGCGGAUGCUAACAUAUGGAAUAGCAGCUGAUGGUGCUGAUGAGUACAUCCGGUCCGUCGAGGCUACUAAUUUAGAGUCUUGCAAGAAAUUUGUGAUCAAAGUUUGUGAAGUUUUUGGGGAAACGUACCUGAGAUCUCCAAAUGAAGAAGACAUUGCUAGGUUACUUGCAAUAGGGGAUGAAAGAGGAUUUCCUGGUAUGUUAGGGAGCAUAGAUUGCAUGCACUGGGGUUGGAAAAAUUGCCCCAAAAAAUGGCAUGGCAUGUUUAAAGGCCAUGUCAGCGAGCCCACUAUGAUCUUGGAAGCAGUUGCUUCACAAGAUCUUUGGAUUUGGCAUGCUUAUUUUGGUUUACCAGGGUCUCUGAAUGAUAUAAAUGUUCUUCAACGUUCUCCUGUUUUUACAAAGAUAGCUGAAGGCCAAACUCCUCCAGUGAAUUAUAGCAUCAAUGGCCAUCAGUACACAAUGGGGUAUUAUCUUGCAGAUGGUAUCUAUCCACGGUGGGCAACAUUUGUGAAGAGCAUACCAGCUCCAGAUACCAGAAAACAUAAAACUUUUGCCAAGAGGCAAGAGGGGGCUAGGAAAGAUGUGGAACGAGCCUUUGGAGUUCUUCAAUCCCGUUUUGCCAUUGUUCGUGGACCUGCUAAAGGAUGGAAACGUAAAGAAAUCGGUGAUGUCAUGAAAGCUUGUGUCAUCAUGCACAAUAUGAUAGUUGAAGAGGAGCGACAAACUGGUCGGCAAAGCUGCACUUUUGAGGCAAUGGGAGAAAGAGUCACGGUCUCUCGUACUCAUGCGGAACAACUGAGCUCUUUUAUUCAGAUGACUCACCGGAUUAGAAAUCAAGGUGAACAUGAUCAGCUUAAACUUGAUCUAAUUGACCAUGUCUGGCAAAAGUUUGGAAACGAGUGA